UGCAUUGUAUUGUGUAAACUG
Molecule: non-coding RNA, 21 nt
Filed under: Caenorhabditis elegans
Lineage: Eukaryota; Metazoa; Nematoda; Chromadorea; Rhabditida; Rhabditidae
Source: RNAcentral